GGAUUAGAUACCCUGGUAGUCCACGCCCUAAACGUUGAUCACUCGAUGUUGGCGAUAUACUGUCAGCGUCCAAGCUAAAGCGUUAAGUGAUCCACCUGGGGAGUACGUCCGCAAGGAUGAAACUCAAAGGAAUUGACGGGGGCCUGCACAAGCGGUGGAGCAUGUGGUUUAAUUCGAUGAUACGCGAGGAACCUUACCAGGGCUUGAAAGUUAGUGACCGACUGAGAAAUCAGUCCUUCUUUCGAGACACAAAACUAGGUGCUGCAUGGCUGUCGUCAGCUCGUGCCG
Molecule: ribosomal RNA, 288 nt
Filed under: uncultured bacterium
Lineage: Bacteria
Description: partial 16S ribosomal RNA
Rfam family: Bacterial small subunit ribosomal RNA
Source: RNAcentral